RNAcentral lists this non-coding RNA (46 nucleotides) under Schistosoma mansoni. Lineage: Eukaryota; Metazoa; Platyhelminthes; Trematoda; Strigeidida; Schistosomatidae. The record is from RNAcentral.
CCACUGCUGAGGAGUCCCACAAUAGGACAAAACAGCUGUCCAGUGC